RNAcentral lists this ribosomal RNA (490 nucleotides) under uncultured bacterium. RNAcentral describes it as "partial 16S ribosomal RNA". It matches the Rfam family "Bacterial small subunit ribosomal RNA", at positions 29 to 507 of the family's 1533-position model. The record is from RNAcentral.
AUUGAACGCUGGCGGCAUGCCUUACACAUGCAAGUCGAACGGCCGCAUGUUUUAGCUUGCUAGGUUUAUGGCGAGCGGCGGAAGGGUGAGUGAUACAUCGGAACGUGCCGUGAAGCGGGGGAUAACAAGUCGUAAGAUCAGCUAAUAACGCACAAGACGUGAGGGUGGAAGUGGGUGACCGCAAGGCCUCAUGUUGUAGGGGAGGCGGCUGUCUGGUUUGCUAGUUGGUGCGGUUAAGAGACACCGAGGAGCCGCACAGUAGCUGGUCUGAGAGGCCGACCAGCUACACUGGGACUGAGACACGGCACAGACACCUACGGGAGGCAGCAGUCGAGAAUUUUGGACGAUGGGCGAGAGCCUGAUCCAGCAAUGCCGCGUGUGUGAAGAAGGACUUCGGGUUGUAAAGCGCUGAAGGCCGGAAAGAAAUGGCGCUGGUUAGUACCUGAGGUCGAUGACGGUACCGGAAGAAGAAGGACCGGCUAACUACGUG